UGGGGAAUAUUGCACAAUGGAGGGAACUCUGAUGCAGCGACGCCGCGUGAACGAAGAAGGCUUUCGAGUCGUAAAGUUCUUUUAUAUGGGAAGAUAAUGACGGUACCAUAAGAAAAAGCCCCGGCUAACUACGUGCCAGCAGCCGCGGUAAUACGUAGGGGGCUAGCGUUGUCCGGAAUCACUGGGCGUAAAGGGUUCGCAGGCGGAAAUGCAAGUCAGGUGUAAAAGGCAGUAGCUUAACUACUGUAAGCAUUUGAAACUGCAUAUCUUGAGAAGAGUAGAGGUAAGUGGAAUUUUUAGUGUAGCGGUGAACUGCGUAGAUAUUAAAAAGAAUACCGGUGGCGAAGGAGACUUACUGGGCUCAUUCUGACGCUGAGGAACGAAAGCGUGGGUAGCAAACAGG
Molecule: ribosomal RNA, 403 nt
Filed under: Fusobacteriota bacterium
Lineage: Bacteria; Fusobacteriati; Fusobacteriota
Description: Fusobacteria bacterium partial 16S ribosomal RNA
Rfam family: Bacterial small subunit ribosomal RNA
Source: RNAcentral